UAAUCCUACUAUAUUAUUUGGGAAGUAUAUUUUAAAUGUAACCUUAAUUUUUGUAAAUAAUUACAUAGGUAUGCCAUUAGAAAUAAAAUUUUAAAAAGUAAAUUAAUUUAUCUCUUUA
Molecule: small RNA, 118 nt
Filed under: Arabidopsis thaliana (thale cress)
Lineage: Eukaryota; Viridiplantae; Streptophyta; Magnoliopsida; Brassicales; Brassicaceae
Description: ATSL192500
Source: RNAcentral